UCAGCCCUCCUCAUCUCUCCUUAAGGAGGACAGGGGCCAAAGGAUCUGUGUGAUGGGAUGAGAAGAGAAUGUCAAAUGUCACAGGGCACCUGCAUGGGAACACAGAGCCCUAGGCAGGAGACAGUGACUCAGCCUGGCCAGCUGUUGUCUGUUGAUACUCUGCUACAAAAAGACCUUUCUUUCAGGCACACGCAAGUCAAAUUUCAAGAAUGUUUAACACCAAGCCACC
Long non-coding RNA from Grammomys surdaster, 229 nucleotides. RefSeq lists it as uncharacterized. Lineage: Eukaryota; Metazoa; Chordata; Mammalia; Rodentia; Muridae. The transcript is spliced from 3 exons. The record is from RefSeq and is a predicted model, not a curated record.